AAAAAAUUAAGAACCUCGACGAUGUUCUCGCAUUGGAUGCUCCAAAAAUUAAUUAGACCAAAAGAGGUUCUAAACUAAUCAAAUCACAAGAUGACUAAUUUAUUCAUUAGAACCCUAAAGGGUCUCAAACCAAUGGAGGUGGUCUAAAGAUAAAUACUUUGAAACCCAUGUUUUGAAAAUAUAAUUGAUGGCGAUGACGAUGGCGACUGCGACUGCGACGAUUGCGAUCUAGUUUUUUUGAUGGGUCUUCAAGAUGGAGAGGAACAGCACUGGGUAGAUCAUCAUCAGAAUAGUGUAAUCGAAUCGAUUUGGAAGCGGAAGGAAGAUUCGGGACACAGAUCUUAAAAGGAUAUUUGGGCAAAGAGGAAAGUAGGGGUUGGAAGAGGGGAGGGAAUCAAUGGGAUUUCAUAUCGAACAAUCUCAGGAUUACGGAGGAGAUAUUCUCACAAUGGCUCCAAGAUUUGGCGGGGACAGAUGGACAAGCGAGUUGUGGUUUCAACACUCUCUCCGCACUAAAGUACAGUUCUGUUCUUGGCUUGUCUCUCUUGUUGGUCUUAAUGGCUCGGAGCCAGCUUAUUGGUAAGGUUGGAAACAUCAAGUCCGGUGAAGGAGCUCACAAACGUUUGAAGAUUGCAGUUCAACACUUCCUGGGGUCUGUCGUUUCUGGUUAUUGUCUCUUUCUUAUUUUCAUAACUCUAUGAGCAUUUUUAUCUGUUUUAUUUCAGUUGGUUAUUUGCUUCAAAGUGUAUUUUUUUAUGGUGGCUAGAUCUUUAUAUAAGAUUAUGCUAUGGAAUAAAAUUGAAUUUUGUUGGUACUGGUAUUGGUGUCUUUUGGUUUUGAAGAAAAGUAUAUUCAUGUU
Molecule: long non-coding RNA, 859 nt
Organism: Brassica oleracea var. oleracea
Lineage: Eukaryota; Viridiplantae; Streptophyta; Magnoliopsida; Brassicales; Brassicaceae
Exons: 2
Source: RefSeq, a predicted model, not a curated record